Molecule: ribosomal RNA, 366 nt
Filed under: Zygnema circumcarinatum
Lineage: Eukaryota; Viridiplantae; Streptophyta; Zygnematophyceae; Zygnematales; Zygnemataceae
Description: 16S ribosomal RNA
Source: RNAcentral
AUGAUUCAAUUUAGAACAAAAAAAAGCUUGGGGCAGCACUUCCUCCAAGACAAACACAUUGCUCAUAAAAUUGUUAGUGCUUUAAGUAAGGAACACCAAAAGAUUGUGGAAGUAGGUGCUGGCACAAGGGUUUUGACUGAGCUCCUGGUACAGCAGCAAGAGCUUGAGCUAUACUUAGUAGAAGUGGAUCUUAAACUGGUGUCUUACCUGAAGCAAACCUAUCCUUUAUUACAAGAUCGUAUCAUUGCAUCUGAUUUGCUUAAGCUAGCAUUCGCCCCAUUCUGUUGUGGGCCUGUGGCCAUUCUCAGUAACUUUGCUUACAACAUUUGUUCGCAAAUAGUUUUGCAAGUACUGGAGCAUCGGUAG